Molecule: unclassified non-coding RNA, 349 nt
Filed under: soil metagenome
Description: partial contains 5.8S ribosomal RNA, internal transcribed spacer 2, and large subunit ribosomal RNA
Rfam family: 5.8S ribosomal RNA (bases 1-120)
Source: RNAcentral
GAUGAAGAACGCAUCGAAAUGCGAUAACUAGUGUGAAUUGCAGAAUUCCGUGAAUCAUCGAGUCUUUGAACGCACAUUGCGCCCCCUGGUAUUCCGGGGGGCAUGCCUGUCCGAGCGUCAUUGCUGCCCAUCAAGCACGGCUUGUGUGUUGGGUCGUCGUCCCCUCUCCGGGGGGGACGGGCCCCAAAGGCAGCGGCGGCACCGCGUCCGAUCCUCGAGCGUAUGGGGCUUUGUCACCCGCUCUGUAGGCCCGGCCGGCGCUUGCCGAACGCAAAUCAAUCUUUUUCCAGGUUGACCUCGGAUCAGGUAGGGAUACCCGCUGAACUUAAGCAUAUCAAUAAGCGGAGGA